CCUACGGGAGGCAGCAGUGAGGAAUAUUGGUCAAUGGACGCGAGUCUGAACCAGCCAAGUAGCGUGAAGGAUGACUGCCCUAUGGGUUGUAAACUUCUUUUAUGUGGGAAUAAAAUGUUCCACGUGUGGUGUUUUGUCUGUACCAUAUGAAUAAGGAUCGGCUAACUCCGUGCCAGCAGCCGCGGUAAUACGGAGGAGCCGGGCGUUAUCCGGAUUUAUUGGGUUUAAAGGGAGCGUAGGUGGAUUGUUAAGUGAGCUGUGAAAGUUCGCGGCUCAACCGUAACAGUGCAGUUGAAACUGGCAGUCUUGAGUACAGUAGAGGUGGGCGGAAUUCGUGGUGUAGCGGUGAAAUGCUUAGAUAUCACGAAGAACUCCGAUUGCGAAGGCAGCUUACUGGACUGCAACUGACACUGAGGCUCGAAAGUGUGGGUAUCAAACAGGAUUAGAUACCCGGGUAGUC
RNAcentral lists this ribosomal RNA (460 nucleotides) under uncultured bacterium. Its description in RNAcentral is "partial 16S ribosomal RNA". It matches the Rfam family "Bacterial small subunit ribosomal RNA", at positions 338 to 795 of the family's 1533-position model. The record is from RNAcentral.